Ictidomys tridecemlineatus (thirteen-lined ground squirrel) is the source of this 5478-nucleotide non-coding RNA. The record is from RefSeq and is a predicted model, not a curated record. NCBI's taxonomy places the organism in Eukaryota, Metazoa, Chordata, Mammalia, Rodentia, Sciuridae.
ACCAGCAGGUCCAGUGGAUGAAGGCAGGGGGCAACUCAGCAUCUCCCUCCGGCUGUGGCAGGUCUCUUCCUGGCCCCAUCUUUGCUUUCUGCGCUGUUCUUUAGUAUUUCUAAGCAGCUGUUUUACAGACCUGCUGCCUGUGCACCUGUGGGAUGCUCAAAGUACAGUCUCUCCAGCUGCUUCUGUAGUCCCCUUCUGCCCUUGCAGCCUGUCCCACUGAGCCUCUGCACCUCUGCAGCAGAGGAUCAAGGACGCCCUUCUCAAAGGUGGCUGUGUGGCCUUGUCUUUCCCCAUUACCAUUCUCCACAAUUUCUACGCCUCUCCUGACUCUGAAGCUCUUCCCAGUUGGUCUCUUUACUAGGGCUUCCAGAGCCCCAUUCCUGCACCUGAACCCUAGCAUUGUAAAGCUGGGCUCCAGGUCAGCCCUACUUGGCCACCAUCAGACCAUGUACCCUGAAGCCUACUCACUGGGACUCCAAGCACAGGACUCACCCUCUCCCAGGCCAGCCCCAGAGGACCAGUGUCCCUGAGAUAUCCUCUAGAACACAGCCAACCACCAUGUACCUACAAUUCAAAGACGUCUCGAAGCCCAAGGAAAUCGGGGACGCCCUGAAUAACCCCAAACGGGGGCGCAAGGUCCUGGCCUCCCAGACCCGCCCCUUUGGCUGAGAGCGAGCCCCGCAGACUCGGCGCCAGCACAGAGAACACACCUGAAUGUCCGCCAUCUUCCCGGCUGCCUGAAAAAAAAGAGAGCGACGGAAGCGUCCGGGUUUCCUUAUUGAUUGCGCAGGGGCUGUAGAGGAAGUGACGAAAGGGGCAGGGUCACAUGGCUUUGGGCGGUGCCUCGAGAGCGACUCUGAUUGACAGGCGGUUUUAACCAAGCAUGUGCAUCGGAAACUGCAAGUGCGCGGCCAUGAUGGUGAAAGACUCAGGGGCGGGAAGUGUGCAUACUAUCUCGCGAGAGUUUCAGGCUCUCAUUGCUCCGGGAGCGUUAGUUCAGAUUGGCUUGUUUGUGUUAUCGCGAGAGUCGUGGGGAAGCCGUCAUUUCCCUGAGGUGUAGGUUCACGUGGGAUUUGGGGACCGCGUGGCUGGGUUCGGUUAGGCUUCAAACCAGAGUUGAUGUGACCAUCUUUAUGGGACAGGCGCCCUGCCGUUCCUAGAAGCAUUGCGGCGGUACCAUCUUUGCGAGGGGCGGAAGCUGCCGGAUCUUUUAGAAGUUGAAUGAAAAAGUUACCCGGCAGUGGCGGGUUUCACUUCCAGAUGGUGAUUUGGAGCCAUUCUUUUGCUUUUUCCGUGUAAGAUGGCGCUAAUAGAACUUACCGCGAUUGUGGAACUAUUGCAUACCUGCGCUUCUAACUCGGUGGGCAGUAGCAUUUGAAAUGUGACUUUUGCGACCGAGAACCCGAAUAUUUGAGUUGUAUUUCAUUAGGCUGUCCGGUGGCAAAGCGCUCACCCGGCAUGGUAGGGUCCUGGGUUCAAUUCCCCACAUCACACACAGUUGUGGGUGCUGGUGACUGUUGAGAUGGGUAAAGGGCUACCCAGGCAGGCCCUUUGCCCUCAGGGGUUCACACUGGCAGAGCCAGCACAUGUAUUUUAGGUGAGGCCUAACGUACUUAUUUAAUAACCAAUUCACUUGCUGUGGUGCUUUGACCCCUGGAGUCAGGCAGUAGGGGGCAUUGUGGCAAUCACAUACUUUGCAGUUGAACUGGAAAGGGGCAGCUUCAGGUUAUUAGGACACUGCAGGCUGUCCCAGGAGGAAACUUGGUCUUUGUGUAAAGUGUGGCCUGCGUGAAGCCUGUUUUUGCUGAGGGCCCACCUCCAUAGUGGACAUAUGCAAAGACGCCAUGUUUCUUCAAAAAUAAUUUAUUUGCUUUCGAUCACAAAACAGAGUUAAGGAAAGGGGUAGUGCAUUUUCCAGUCUUUGCACCUCUAAAACUUGGCCCACUUCAGCAGGUACUCUCCCAUUCUGUCAGCUACAGAGUAUAGGAUGGCCACAUGGUUAAGACAGAUGGGUGCCCCUAUAGCCAAGGAGACCCCCGCUUAGUGUUCCAGCUCAUUUUUUUUUUAAAUACUGCAAGUAACUGGUAGUUCUAUCAUUUUUUAAAAAUUCAUGAAUAAGCAGGUCAUAAAUUCUGACCAUACAACUCUUAAGAAACCUUCUGAAACAGAAGCAGAGACCAAGGCUAAGGCCCUUCUCUGUGUCAGCUUUCCAGGUCCCAAGCUGCCUGUGAACCCAGAGAGCUGUACUGGGUCCCCCAUAUCCCAGGGUGGCGAUGGAGGAAGGGCAGGCCAGGCCACACAUGAGGCAUAAACAGUCUUUAUUGGGCUCAGACUAGGAGUCCAUUGAUCCUGAGGACCUCUGUGAACUUGUUAAUUUUCUUCUCCACAUUCUUUUCUGCCUGUUUUCGUAGCCUCUGUGGGGUUAAAAACACACAAUGGCUUUAGGAGCUGGUUCUCCACCUCAGGCUGGGAUGAAGGCAGAUCUUCUAGGGUAAGACUUUGCCAGCCUGGCCCACCCACAAGCACAGUCCCCUCCAGGGUAACUCCCUGCCCUCACCAUAAGCUGUUUUUUCUUCCGGUAAUGGAUCUUGGCUUUCUCCUUUCUCUUCUCCUCCAAGGUGGCUGUCACUGCCUGGUACUUCCAGCCGACCUCAUGAGCCAGGCGCCCCAGGUAGGCAAACUAGAGGGGCAGAGAAAGUUUUUAAGGGCAUGGAGACAUGGGAGUCCUCUUAACCUAAAGAGCCUGGACUGAGGCCAUGGUGGUCACAAGGGGAGUAACUGUCCUAGAGGAUCAUGGGAAGGGAAUAAUAAUUCAGUCCCCAGCAAGCCCACAUGUGAAGGCGACACACACAUCCUGUGUAAAGGCUCCCUGCUCCUGGCAUCAGCUAAGCCUUUAGCGUUCUCGGCACUGCACACACACACAGUGGCAUCCGCAGACCAUCGUGAGAAAAAACAUCAUUUGCCAGUCUUGAACCUCAGGUUCACCCCAGCAGACCAUAAAACCAAGUUAGAGCUGUUCAACCUGGAACUCACCUUUCUUGUUGGCUUCAGUCGCACAACCUUCAGGGCAGCAGGAACCACCAUCCGCUUUUUCUGUUGGAGGAGAGGGGCUUAAAGACCUAGUGCAGAGACACUAGGCAAAGGAGGCUGGCUGCAUUAGGCGUCUCAGCCAGUUAUGUUUUCAUGAGGCUCAAACAAUGUAGGUAAUUGCGUAACAUCAUGGACGCUGGAUGCACGACACUGUGCUGGGGGCUUGGUGUGGCUCACCUUGUCGUAGGGUGGUGGAAUCCCAUCAAACACCUUGAGGCGGUCCAGGGCAGCCUGGCCUCGUUUGGUCUUGUGGGGCAGCAUGCCUAUGGCAGAAGGAUGCCAGACCUCAGUGGAGCUUAGAGGAUGUUCACCCUUCCCCACCAGGGCAGGCAUGGGGCGGCCUCAGAUGGUAGUGCAUGUGGAGUCAUCUCAUGGUUGGGGAACUCGAACACGAGUGGGAGACGUCCUCAUCACUGGCUGCCUGCUGUCACCACCCACAGCCCCGCGCCCAGCUCACCUCGUACAGUCCUCCAGAAGAUGCGACUGGGGGCCCGGAAGUGGUACGGGCCUCGGGAUGGGUUGGUAUUCAUCCUCUUGCGGAGGAAGGCCAGGUACUUCACUGAGGGAAGGGGAGAAUAUGAGGCUUGCCUUGUCUAUGACAAGACCUAACAGUUCCCAACCAAACCCUAAUGUUCUAGCAAAAAACCUUAACCCCUCUAUGAUCACAGGUUUAACUUACACUUGUUUCUGUAGAAAUUUCCAGAAAUGUUGAUGCCCUCACAGCGCACAACCACCACCUUGCGGCCUAAAGAGAAGGUGAGGCAUUCAAGAAAGGGAAGGAUUAUGAAGGGCAGAAUACAGGGAGAGGGAUCCUCCCUUGCACACAAUUGGCAGAGCUGGGUUCAUACUAAAAUCUGAGCCGGGGAGGGAAGAGUUUGGCUGGCAAGUCUCAGAGCGGUGCAUGGGGUUGAUCUCACAGUCGUGAGACUCAAACGAAAGAUGGUGAUUGUUGCUCAUCACUGACCUGCAAGUGGAACUAAAGGCAGGGAGGACUCUGAGCAGACUUACCCAGCAGUACCUGUUUGGCCACAAUGGCCGCCAGGCGGCCCAGGAGAUGGCCUCGACCAUCCAGCACUAGGACCUGUGGAGACAAGGAAGGGAUGAGGAAACUGACAGCUUUACUCUCCCACCUCAAGAAACCACUCUUUUUCAGUUCACCUUGCCCCAGGGGGCCUCUUCCAGCUCAGACCCAAGACUUGGGUUAAUAGACCAAAGGGAAGCAAAAUGUUGAUCCAGCAUCACCAGGCAGGACAAGACACCAAGGAACUCCCAACUCCCUUCUCCCUUCCUAAGACUGCAUUUUGGAUUGACCCAAACCUGGCAACUCCUGUCCUUGGCUCAUACAGAUACAAAAUUUGUUGUCACCUUUGUCAAACUGCAGGCUUCUAAUAACCCUACUCUCCUUAAGAUGUAAAAUGCAAUUUUUACCAUGGACUUUUUUUAAGUCUGAGACAAUUUCUCAUUAUGUUGCCCAGGCUGACUUCAAAACCCUGGGUUCAAGCAGUCCUCCUGAGUAGCUGGGUACUACAGGCACGCUACCCUUGAUCUUAGCAAGUAUUGUCAAAAGCCCUUGCUGGAUCUGCAUCCCUGGGUCCUCAGCUUCCUCAUCCAGAAUAGAAGCCAUCAACAUUAAUAAAGCACACCAUAAUGCACUAAUGUGACAGUAUAAAAUAAUGGUUGUUAUACAUACUUGUGUAGUUAUUGGAAAGCAGUGCAGGUGGCAUCAAAUCUAAACCUAAGCUAGACUUCCCUACAAUGUGAUCUUGGCCCAAAAUCUACAACUCACCUGAAAAAUGAGGAUAGCAUCUGCCUCAAGACUAUUGCCAAUAAACGGGAAAAACCAGUGCACACUGCUCUUCACAGAUACACAUAGGCUUGAUGACUCUUACCACUUGCCUAGUUCUACCUACCUGGGAAUGAGCCCAAACACCACAGACUUCCAGGGCCAUCCUCUUGGCCCUGCACAUGCCAGGCUAGUGCUCCACCGCUGAGCCACAACCUCAGCGCCCCCAUCCUCUAAUUAUGCCUCACACAUGCUAGGCAAGCGCUCUGCCAUUAGACUACAGCCUCAGCCCCAAGGACCACCCUCUUGGGUACACGUUCAACACAAGACACAGAGCUAAGUUUCUACGGUGUUCCCUGAGGGCCUGGGGGUGAUUUGGGGGACGAUAGUUUGUCCUAUAGCUGUGGAACUGUUAACAGCCCUCUACUUCCAGCAACCCCAAAACAAGGGGGAAAAUAAAGCAAUUCCUGAACACUGGGAAGGCGAGUUUUCUUAACCUACUGCAUAAGGGAAUUUCGCAUUGAAAUGCCACAAGCUGUAGGAAACCUUGAUCCCGAAUCAGGCUGAAGCAGUUAGGCCUUGGGCAUAACGGCAGUGGCCUCCAU